GUUUGAUCCUGGCUCAGAUCGAACGCUGGCGGCAGGCCUAACACAUGCAAGUCGAACGAACUCUUCGGAUUUAGUGGCGGACGGGUGAGUAACACGUGUGGAACGUGCCUUUAGGUUUGGAAUAACUCGGGGGACUUGUGCUAAUACCGAUGGUGCCCUUCCGGGGAAACAUUUAUCGCCUUUAGGGCGUCCCCCGACCGAUUACCUAUUUGGGAACGUAAAGGCUCUCCACUGCUACGAUCGGUAACUGGCCUGAAAGGAUAAUAUCCCUCAUUGGGACUAAAACAUGAUCCACCCUCCUGCGGCAGGCACCCGUGCGGAAUCUUGCCCGAUGGGCGAAAGGCUGAAUCUUGCAUGCCGCGUGAAUGAUGAAUGUCUUAAGAUUGUAAAAUUCUUUCACCGCUUACGAUAAUGACGGUCCCCGGACAAGAAGCCCCGGCUCACUUCUUGCCCUCUGCCACGGUGAUACUAACGCGGCUAGCGUUGCUCGGAAUUACUGGGGGCAAAGGGAGCGUAAGUAGACAUUUAGCUCACGUGUGACAUCUCUGCGCUCAACCUCGGAAGUGCCUUUGAUACUGGGUGUCUUGAGUAUGAUACAUGAGUGUGGAUCUCCAAGUGUAUACGUGACUGUCGUACAUAUUCGUAAGAGACCAUGUGGCGAAUGCGACACACUGGCUCAAUACUGACGCUGAACGCUCGGAAGCCUGGGGAGCAAACGGGACUUCAUACCCUGGUACUCCACGUCAUAUACGAUGAUUUGCUAGAUCACGGGAUGUAUGAUUCUCUGGUGACCCAUGUCACGCAUUGAUGUCUACGACUGGUGAGUACGGUCGAGAGAUUAAAGCUCCAAACGAACUGGACUGAAUCACUAG
RNAcentral lists this ribosomal RNA (872 nucleotides) under uncultured bacterium. Its description in RNAcentral is "bacterial SSU rRNA". It matches the Rfam family "Bacterial small subunit ribosomal RNA", at positions 11 to 929 of the family's 1533-position model. The record is from RNAcentral.